This is a long non-coding RNA of Gymnogyps californianus (California condor), 802 nucleotides long. RefSeq lists it as uncharacterized. NCBI's taxonomy places the organism in Eukaryota, Metazoa, Chordata, Aves, Accipitriformes, Cathartidae. The transcript has 5 exons. The record is from RefSeq and is a predicted model, not a curated record.
CACAGCAAUACUGGAGCUCUUCAAGAAGUACAUCAUCGCAGGACUUGCAUUUAACUUCUGUGGCUCUCCCUUCUGCCGUGUCCCUGAGAUGAUAACAGAGGUUCCUAGAGGUGGCUGGCAGAAAAUGAUGAUGGCAGAUACUGCUUCAUGGUGGCAGACCAGGAUGUCUCUGAGGUUUUGCCCUUGGCAGAUGUAAAUAGACCAGCAGACAACGUGCGGUGCACAGGGGAGGAGGAUGUGAUUAGUGUUUUCUGCCAUGGGAUGUCAGCUGAGGGAUAAGAACCGUGUGCCAAGAGGAGGAAAGAGCGGAUGGAUGGAUAUUCUUCUCUGCAGCCCGCCUGACAUCCAGCGGCGGCAAAGAAACAAACGCACAGAUCCAGGGAUGGGGCCAGAGCUGGCCCUGCAAGGGAGAAUCCAGCUCCAAGCACUCCAGGGAAGCAAACAGACCCUUUAAAGACGUUUAAUGCUGAAGAAAGCAGGAAGGGAUUCAGUAUGAAGCCACAAAACCAAUUUUGAGGAAGAAAUGCAGCUUGCCUCCUGUCCCCCACCCCUGCGAACCGAAGGGGAGAGGCUGUCCAUCGCUGUCCGUCACUUCGGGUUGGCAUCCUGGGCAAGGGCAGCAUCUCUGGGUGCUCAACGGUCUCUUUGAGCAUGGUUCGUUUUAGGUUGGCUGCCGCUGAUCCCAGCCCAUCUUCAGCACAUGGACACUUUUAACCCCUCGGGGAGGGGUCGGCGUGGCCAGCCGGAGGGGGAGAGCGCCAGCCCGCUGCACGCUCCGCAGCUGCCGAGGACACUGCCACGA